Molecule: long non-coding RNA, 778 nt
Organism: Manduca sexta (tobacco hornworm)
Lineage: Eukaryota; Metazoa; Arthropoda; Insecta; Lepidoptera; Sphingidae
Exons: 2
Source: RefSeq, a predicted model, not a curated record
AAUACAUGAUGACCUUCUUUGGUCAUUCUUUAGAGCCUCACUUGGAAAUAGUAUAUGUGUACGAGUAUGUGCAUACCGCAAUUUUUCUUCUUCUGUUAUAUUAUGGCUUCUACCUUUUAUCUAUCGGUGAUUUAAAAUUUAUCUACAAUAUAGAAAACAAAUCAUUUUUAUUUUCCUUAACAAAAUUCCUUCGAUACAUACCAAAAAUGUCAUAUAUUGCCAUUAAAAAAACACUUGACAAGUCGACAGCGACAGAUGACCUGCUAUUUCAAUAAUAAAUACAUAACCUAAAAUUUUAAAUUAGAGUAAAUAGUAGUUUUUGUUUAAUAUAAACAUAACUUUGUUCUGCUUGGUAUUACAUUACAUAUUACAUUAAUAAAUUUAUUGUGUUACAACUUACAGAAACAGAAAAUCUACAGACCCUAGUACUUACUGCUUUCAAAACAUUAAACAUGGUAUCUGAGAUGAAAUUCAUUAUAUCAGAAAACGAAAAAGUAAUCCAUACUAUAACUAAAGAAACAAAUUCACUGACUCUAGUAAAAACAUUGGAAGAGUUUCAACAUGCAGUGAACACAAAACUAACCAAGAUGAUUGAGGAACUUGGUGGUACUGUAGGUGAUGAAGACAUGGAAAGUGAAAGUGAAGAUUGUGAUGAUGAUGAGAAUGAAGACAUAUCAAUAUUACCCAAAAAAAGGAGAAAAUAAAGUUAUGUAAUUUUUUUUAAAUUUUAUAUGUGUAAAUAUGAAAAUAAAAGUACUGAUAAACUAAAUAAAUUAAA